ACAAAACUCCCUGCGGUUAUGACCCACGAACCCACGAACUCGGGCAUCCCAACACGCGAGCUCAUCCAAUCCAAUCCGACCUCACGCCCUCGCACCCCUGCUUUCUAUCCGCCUCCCGUCCCCAGGCUGCUGUUCCCAUCGCGGCGCAUCCCCCAUCUCUAGCCGAGCCACAUCCCCAACCCAGCACCGCCAGCCGGCGAUACCGCUCACACACAGCCGCCUUUCCUUCCUUCUCGUCGCGCCGCAGUGCGAUGCGUUGCCGUCCAUCGCCUACGUCCACUCUCAUGGGCGCGCAUGUCAGGUCGGGAAGAACUUCUUCCCUUGGUCGGCAUCAACAAUGGUAGGAGCGCGGCAAGGUCGACAGCGCUGCGAAUGUGGGGGGCGAUCGCGGUGGCCGCCUCCACGAGAGCUAUUCUCCAAAUCCGACACCGGCGGCCGCCAUCUUCCUCUAGGUAUUUCACCAUACGGCGACUGGGCUGUGAACGAUAGCACGGGAGCCCAACUGCUCAAGUACACCGUCCAGGACCAGCUGGAGUACAUGCUCACUGAAGAUGACGACACACCUAUGCGAGCACGAGGCUGUAAAGUCUCUGGUGAAGGACCUUGCCACAGGUUCGUCAGAUAUUGAUAGGAGUUUUUUUAGCAAAUUUCAGCAAUGUCUUUGGUUGUCAUUGUCAAAUCACCCAGUAUGGUAGAUAUGGAGUUGUUGCUCUA
Long non-coding RNA from Aegilops tauschii subsp. strangulata, 714 nucleotides. RefSeq lists it as uncharacterized. Lineage: Eukaryota; Viridiplantae; Streptophyta; Magnoliopsida; Poales; Poaceae. The record is from RefSeq and is a predicted model, not a curated record.